GAUGAACGCUGGCGGCGUGCCUAAUACAUGCAAGUCGAGCGAACGGACGAGAAGCUUGCUUCUCUGAUGUUAGCGGCGGACGGGUGAGUAACACGUGGAUAACCUACCUAUAAGACUGGGAUAACUUCGGGAAACCGGAGCUAAUACCGGAUAAUAUUUUGAACCGCAUGGUUUAAAAGUGAAAGACGGUCUUGCUGUCACUUAUAGAUGGAUCCGCGCUGCAUUAGCUAGUUGGUAAGGUAACGGCUUACCAAGGCAACGAUGCAUAGCCGACCUGAGAGGGUGAUCGCCCACACUGGAACUGAGACACGGUCCAGACUCCUACGGGAGGCAGCAGUAGGGAAUCUUCCGCGAUGGGCGAAAGCCUGACGGAGCAACGCCGCGUGAGUGAUGAAGGUCUUCGGAUCGUAAAACUCUGUUAUUAGGGAAGAACAUAUGUGUAAGUAACUGUGCACAGCUUGACGGUACCUAAUCAGAAAGCCACGGCUAACUACGUG
This 497-nucleotide ribosomal RNA is filed under the name uncultured bacterium. RNAcentral's name for it is "partial 16S ribosomal RNA". It matches the Rfam family "Bacterial small subunit ribosomal RNA", at positions 28 to 507 of the family's 1533-position model. The record is from RNAcentral.